Molecule: ribosomal RNA, 516 nt
Filed under: uncultured Paraglomus
Lineage: Eukaryota; Fungi; Glomeromycota; Glomeromycetes; Paraglomerales; Paraglomeraceae
Description: SSU rRNA
Rfam family: Eukaryotic small subunit ribosomal RNA
Source: RNAcentral
AGCAGCCGCGGUAAUUCCAGCUCCAAUAGCGUAUAUUAAAGUUGUUGCAGUUAAAAAGCUCGUAGUUGAACUUCAGGCCUGGCUGGGCGGUCCGCCUUCCGGGCGAGUACUGCCUGUGGUCGGGUCCUACCUUCUGGCGAAGCGUCAUGGCCUUAACCGGCCGUGGCGGGGAACCAGGACUUUUACUGUGAAAAAAUUAGAGUGUUCAAAGCAGGCACGCGCUUGAAUACAUUAGCAUGGAAUAAUGGAAUAGGACAGUGGUUCUAUUUGUUGGUUUCUAGGACCGUUGUAAUGAUUAAUAGGGAUAGUUGGGGGCAUUAGUAUUCAAUUGUCAGAGGUGAAAUUCUUGGAUUUAUUGAAGACUAACUACUGCGAAAGCAUUUGCCAAGGAUGUUUUCAUUAAUCAAGAACGAAAGUUAGGGGAUCGAAGACGAUCAGAUACCGUCGUAGUCUUAACCAUAAACUAUGCCGACUAGGAAUCGGGCGAUGUUGACAAAAUGACGCGCUCGGCACCUC